AUUGAACGCUGGCGGAAUGCUUUACACAUGCAAGUCGAACGGCAGCAUAGGUGCUUGCACCUGAUGGCGAGUGGCGAACGGGUGAGUAAUACAUCGGAACGUGCCCAGUCGUGGGGGAUAACGUAGCGAAAGUUACGCUAAUACCGCAUACGAUCUGAGGAUGAAAGCGGGGGACCGUAGGGCCUCGCGCGAUUGGAGCGGCCGAUGUCAGAUUAGGUAGUUGGUGAGGUAAAGGCUCACCAAGCCGACGAUCUGUAGCUGGUCUGAGAGGACGACCAGCCACACUGGGACUGAGACACGGCCCAGACUCCUACGGGAGGCAGCAGUGGGGAAUUUUGGACAAUGGACGCAAGUCUGAUCCAGCCAUUCCGCGUGCAGGACGAAGGCCUUCGGGUUGUAAACUGCUUUUGUACGGAACGAAAAAGCUCUUACUAAUACUAGGAGUCCAUGACGGUACCGUAAGAAUAAGCACCGGCUAACUACGUGCCAGCAGCCGCCGUAA
RNAcentral lists this ribosomal RNA (502 nucleotides) under uncultured bacterium. RNAcentral's name for it is "partial 16S ribosomal RNA". It matches the Rfam family "Bacterial small subunit ribosomal RNA", at positions 30 to 523 of the family's 1533-position model. The record is from RNAcentral.